Long non-coding RNA from Procambarus clarkii (red swamp crayfish), 1571 nucleotides. RefSeq lists it as uncharacterized. Lineage: Eukaryota; Metazoa; Arthropoda; Malacostraca; Decapoda; Cambaridae. The record is from RefSeq and is a predicted model, not a curated record.
CUUUACAGUUUCCCCAGUGCAGCACUGCGUGUUCGGUGGGCGUCUAUGUGCACCACAUCAGUCAACACUGCUAAUUUGAGAUGUUGCGGCCGUUGCAAGCGGUGUUGAGUAUUGAUUUCUGCAUCCUUCUCCAGGACCCAUCUUAGUGCCCAGUGUUGAUCUCCGCUCACUACUCCAGGACCCAUCUUAGUGCCCAGUGUUGAUCUCCGCUCACUACUCCAAGACCCAUCUUAGUGCCCAGUGUUGAUCUCCGCUCACUACUCCAGGACCCAUCUUAGUGCCCAGUGUUGAUCUCCGCUCACUACUCCAGGACCCAUCUUAGUGCCCAGUGUUGAUCUCCGCUCACUACUCCAGGACCCAUCUUAAUGCCCAGUGUUGAUCUCCGCUCACUACUCCAGGACCCAUCUUAGUGCCCAGUGUUGAUCUCCGCUCACUUCUCCAGGACCUAUUUGAACAUUUAGAGUAUAUCAUACUGGUCUACGAUACACGUUACCGCUUCCUCUCAACUGUUCAUUCCCAUCUAAAGAAGUAGAAGAUAACAGUUAUCUCAAUGAUGAGAUUUUUUUCCUUCGGUCGCCGUGACCCGGACGCUGAAGAUAAUCCCCGGAAGAGUCGAGAAGAGUCCAAGGGCCACGAGCGUCGACGUGGGCAUCUUAGACCUCCGGGGCAUUGUUGCAGGGGUGGGCACCUCAGCCCACAUCGGUACCACAAGCCUCAUGCCCACCGAAGUCCUAACAGACAUCCCAGCCUGCGAGAGAACAGAAGUCCACAGAGGUACCUCAGUCAGCCUGAACAUCACAGCCGUCGAAGUUCAGACUCCAGCGCUAGUGGACGCCGGGGUUCACGGGGGAGCAACAGCCCAAAUGGGCAUUGUAGCCCGAGUAGACAUAAUCGUAGCCCAAGAGAACAGAACCACAGCCGUAGCCCAAGUGGAAGACACAGCCCUAUUGGGCGCCGCCACAGCCUAAGUGAACAGUGCCCAAACCCAAGUGGACACCACAGCCCCAUUGAGCGCCGACACAGUAUAAGUGGAAAUCAGAACCCAGAGGAACACCACAGACAUCUGGGUUGUCGAGGAAACGCCACCCACCACGAUCGUCACUGACCACACGGACAACAUUGCCAACAUCACAACUUACAGGAACAUCGUGCUUCGCCGGGACGUUCUGGCCGUGUGACCCCAAAGUUCCCGCAUACAUAGUUAUGUCUAUUUUGUACACCAUGAACAGCUGGGACUCAACAAAUGUAUAAUAUUGUACAUAGGAAUCACUUUUUAAAACUUCUAGAAUCAAAGGACUUCUUUUGCAUCACAACUUUAACAAUUUGUAUUAAACCGUAUGUGCUGCAUUUGGCUGUGUGGCUGCAUUUAAUAUUUUACUUUGUUUCCUGUAUAUAUAUAAAAUAUACUGGGAAUUAGGUAUAAAUGUUUGUGAAUUUUAUAUGUAGUUAUUGGUGAUAGAACUACCGAGUUUGUGAUUAUUAUAGUCUUCUUUCCCAAUGUUUAUUUUACUGACACGCUAUAGUUUUGAACACUUAUUCAGUAUAGCGUCUGAAACUGUUGUUAAACAGAU